This 8704-nucleotide long non-coding RNA is filed under the name Cricetulus griseus (Chinese hamster). RNAcentral describes it as "lncRNA (ENSCGRG00015033744.1)". The record is from RNAcentral. Lineage: Eukaryota; Metazoa; Chordata; Mammalia; Rodentia; Cricetidae.
GGCUGGAGAAGGGGAAGGAAGGGGAACUUGGGUUGGUAUGUAAAAUGAAAAAAAUAAAUAAAAAUAUUAAUAAAGGUAAUGACAAUUUUUUAAAAGUAAAAAAAAAAUUCAAAUACAUUUGAAAGCAAAAACCUAUACUGAAAAUGUUACUGAAGGGGUUCCUUCCUUUUUCUAGAAAAGUAUUUCCCCAGAGUCAGCCCUGAAAGGCACAGAGGGACUAAUGCAACUGAGUGAGGGGGGGGGGGCAGACUACAACUCAAGCAAGUAGCAGAACUAGACAGCAUCACGCAUAUGGUACUGUGGUGGGCAUGAUACAUGAUACAAGGGAGUGAUAGAGGUUUGGGCCAAGGUUUCAGAAGGCUACUGAAGCCAGCGAUGCAAGGUGUGGCAAGAUUAGAGCUCCUGCAAUGAGGCCCAAAGAACCCAUGAUAUGGAGCUGUGAGGUUGAAGCCUAAGUCAUUGGAAAACUCAGGGUGUUGGUGAUGCCAGUACUAUAGAAUAUCUGUACUGAGGAAAGCUGUGUGCACAAAGUGUCAUUUGCCCAAGAGAAAAGCUGUGUGUGCUGACCCCUGGGGCCCUGAUAGUUCUGACAUGCCCCGGGUAGCUGUGUGCUGAACCUCUGGAGCCCUGAAGGUUCUGUCAUGCCCCAGGUAGCCAACAUCAUGCUGCAAGAGUUGGAGUUUUUUUUCUGCUGACUUUAGUUUUGUUUUGAUUCAGGAAUCAGGAUACCUUGAUUCCUCUCUUUGGGGAGAGAAACACCAUUUUGUUUUGGUAUUGUGCAAUUCGGAUGUUACAGGAGCUCACUGUUGAAAGGUUGCCUGAGUUUCAGAAGACACUCCACACUUACUUUGGACAGUGUUUGAACUGUUAGUGUACAGAAUUUUUGAGGCUUGUGUUAUGAGAUGUUAUGUGUCUCUGGAGACAAGUGGUAAAGGACUGUGACUUGAUAGUAAUGUGGUCGAAAGUCAGGUUAACAAAGGGCCAACUCCUGAUGGUUGAUAUUGAUUGCCAAUUUGACAGACUCUAGAAUCACUCAGUGAGGGGGGAAUGGGGCUGCUGGGUUGAUCCAGGCUUGUAGACCACUGAUAAUUUUGGCAGAAGUUCCAAGAUGAUUGGUCAUGUAUGAGAAAAGAGAAAAUAAAUCCAGGAGGAACUUGAUAAAUACUGCCAGUAAGAACUGCAUCACAUGCCAGUUAACACUGAUUGCACCUGUAGUUAAGUCAGAUGCCAUGCUCCAUCUUUUUGUAUAGUGCCUAGUGAAUCAUUCAGAAAUCCUGUGAAAUGUGAAGCACUGGUAAUAGCACUUUCAAAUGAAGAUGCCAAGGAUUAAAAUGAACAUGGAGCUUAGUAGUUUUCUGCUUGACUUCAGGUCUUUUAACUCAAAAACAGCUAAGACCUAGCAAUACUAAUGACAGCAAAAAAUGAUAAAAUUAAUGCAGGGUUGAAAAGUUAUGACAGAUGCACUGAACUUUCGGUUUAAGAUAUCUUAAUGUUAAGUGAUCCAUCCAGAGGAUUACAAGACCCUGAAGAACUAGUGUGUAAGGGAUUUACAGGAGUUGGCACUGAACAUGUUCAACUCCUCUCAAUAAAAUGGUAUGUCUAAAUUACCUCUAAGUCCUAGCACUAUUCCCAAAUUCUCUCUUUUCCAUAAAGAAAGUUUCCUGAUUCCUCAUUUGGAAAGUAUUUCUUCUUCCUUAUAUCUUAAAAUAAUAUAUAUUCCUAGAUUAAACAGUCACUAGGUUAUCUCUUUCAUUCAUAUAAUUUUCUAAAACUUUUAUGCUUUUGAUUGAGGUCAAGUCAAUGUGUAACAAAAUCUACAUAUCUAUAUAAUUCAUUGAGUUUUUGUAAAUACAUAUUUAAGAGACAGUUAUUUAAACAAAAUAUAGCUUAUGAUAGAAUAGUUAGUUCUGCAAACACAGAAAACAUAGAAGGUUUCUCCUUCUAUGACCACCAUCUUCCAACAAUCCAUCAGAGCCUAGCUUGGACAAUAAAACAUCAUACAAAUAGUCAUACGGCAUGUAUUCUUUCAUGUGUGAUUUGUAUCCUUUACAUAACUUAGAUUUGGUCAUACUGUUGUAGUCUCCCUUUUUACACUAGCUAGUACUGCCCCCUUACAAACAUCAAUAACCAUGCCCAUCUCCUGUGUUGCUUCUGACCCUGAGCUGUUAUGAAUGAGUGACUAUGCUUGUUCUUGUGCACAGAUGCCUAUGUUUACUUCUUUCAGGGGUGGUGAUAAACUAGUUCUGCCUUCUUUUGUUGAUCAGCAUGGUUGAACUUAAUUUUUAAUACUUUAGUUAGUAUGAAAUGGAGCCAUUGUGGUUUUAAUUUAAACAUUCUUUUCUUGUCCCUAUUAACCAUUCAUAUAUCCUCUAUGAUACAAUGGCCAGGUCUUUUGCCCAUUCUUUUUAAACUGAAAUUUUCUUUUUUAAUCUUUUUAUUAUGCAUUAGUACUGGCUUUUUCCCUUUUUUUUUGAAAAACAUCUUUUUUUUCCCCCUCAAAUACAUCUUGAUUAUGGUUUGCCCUCACUGUACUCCUCCCAGUUCCUCCCCACAACCCCUCCCAUCUGGAUCCAACCCCUUUCUGUCUCUCACUGGAAAACAAUUUUCUAAAGGAUAAUAGUAAAGCAAAAUAGGAUAAAACAAAAACUAAUGCAUCAAAAUAGGAAAAAAUAAAAAGGGAAAGACACGCCCCAAAAGGAACAUGAAACAGACAUAGAUUCCGAGUUCCACUUGUUUAUACACUCAGGAAUCCCAUAAAAACACUAAACUGGAAGCCAUUAUCUAUACAAAAAGGACAUGUAAGGUAAAAAGAGAAGUUUGUUUUGUUUUGUUGGGUUUUUUUUAAGCCCCGACAUGACAUUAUGAGACAAGCAACUUCCAAUGAUGCUGUGGAUGCUGUUGAGUUCAUUUUCUAUUGAUCAUCUAUUGCUCAUCACAUAGCCUACCUUUAAGAGCAUUUUGUUUCCCAAAUGAGACUCCACUGGAGAAAAGUAAAUUUUUUAUUUGCAAGUGGCUAUCAAUUGGAGAUAGCUUCUGGGUUAGGGAUGGGCGCAUAUGCCCACUUCCUUAAGCUCUAGCACCCAUCUGGUGCAGAACUGUGCUGCUUUAGUCUCCGUGAGAUCAUGAGAGCUUUGAUCAUGUUGAUUUAAAGAACUUUGUUUUCUUGGUGUCCUCCAUGCCCUCUGGCUCUUAGACUCUUUCUGCAUCUUCUACAGGAUCCCCCGAGCCCUGAGGGGAGUGAUUUGAUGGAGACAUCCAUUUUGGGCUGAGUAUUUUAAGGUCCUCCAUCCUCUGCAUAAUGUCUGCAUGUGGGUCCCUGUAUAAGUUGCCAUCUUCUGUGGGAGGAAGCUUCUCUGAUGAUGGCUGAGCAAGGCACUGACCUAUGAGUACAGCAGAAUGUCAUUAGGAACCAUUUUAUUGCUACAUUCUUUUGUCUGGUUUACCCUAGGUUCCUGGACUUUCUUCACCAUCAAAGCAAUGUCAGGUAUCAUCUUCCACAAUGGGGCCUUGCUGUCAGUCUGUGAAGAGCAACCUACAAUCUUAGCAAUAGCCUGCAUUGAUCAGGAGUUCAAUGAGAAGGCCUAACAACUCAAUUAGAUGUAACUAAUUCCCGGCACUGGAAGUUUCAUUUACUGGCAAGAGAUGUCUCGUUCGGACUUUGAACCAUCCUUGCAUCUCCGGGAUGAAGCCUACUUGAUCAUGUGGAGCCAGUGGAAGUGGGAAGGCUGCAGUAGGUGGUCUGAUACAAAGCUGUGGAUGAAACUGGGGGAUUGAUUUGUGAGAGAGAGAAAGGAAGAAGAGGUGAAGAUCUGUAGUUAUCCUACCUGCUUCCCUGGCUAGAGUGGCCUGCGGGUUCCCAGGAAAUGCCUGCUAGAGUCAGCGGGCUGGAAUAAUGGGAUGAGUGGGUAAGGACGUUUGGAGGGGAAGAUCUGUGUGACCCACUGGAUUUGGGACCAUUUGUACUAACUUUUAAAUAGUCUAGAUAAAAAUCUUUGUUUUUAGUUUAUCUUGUUUUGUUUUGGGGAUUUUGUUUGUUUGUUGUUGUUUUUUAGAGAAAGUCUCACUAUGUAGCUUUGCUGGAGUGGAACAAAGUCCUGGAAGGCCUGUGCCUCUACAACUGGCAAAACCUUUGUUUUUAUGUGUUUUUUUCUUUUUUUCCAAUCUCGGCUUUAUUUUUCACUUUAUCAACUGUACCAGUGUUGGGCAAAAUCUCCCAGACAUAGCCAGGAUUUAGAACUAUCUCCAGCUUCUUUAUGGAAUAUUUGUCUAAAUAUACAAAGAUGUUUGUUUAAUUAUGUAAUGACAUGCUGUUGUUUUACCUUGCCUGUCUAAGGCACAUAAUUGGUCUAAUCAAAAGCUGAAUGGCCAGUAGGGAGGGAGGAGGUUUAGGCAGGAGUUCUGGGAAGAGAAAAUGAGUAAGAGGAGAAAUUUAGGCAGGGGUGGUGGAAAGAAAGAAUAAAAGACACCAGGAAGACAUUAGGGGACAGACAGACAAGGAAGAAGCAGGGAAAUAGGGCAUAAAGAAUGAAAGAAAGGUAAAACGACUCAAAGUAAAACAUAAAUGAAUAGAAACGGGUUAAAUUAAGUUAUAAGAGCUAGUGGGACAAGCCAAAGCCAAGGCUGAGAAUUCAUAAUUUAUAGUAAGUCUGUAUGUCUUUAUUUGGAAGCUGGUUGGUAGUCCAAAGAAAAUUCCAACUAUACAGGCUACCAUAUUUGAAAGUCUUCUUCUUCACCCUUUCUCUGGUCCCUCUAGAUAAGUUAUGGGUUUUUUUUAUAACAAAGUUGUUCUAUAAAUGCUCAUUUAUUUUAAAAUUUCAUCAUUAUAUUGAAAUUGGAACAUUAUUUUGUUUGACUAGUUUGUCUCAAAGUUGUUACCUACUGGAAGGGAUUUUUUGUUUUGUUUUGAUGGUGGUGGUGAUAUUCUCUCUCUCUCUCUCUCUCUCUCUCUCUCUCUCUCUCUCUCUCUCUCUCUUUCUGUGUGUGUGUAGGGGGGUUGGUUGGUUGGUUGGUUUGAUGGUUAGUUUGAGAUUUGAUAAUAAUAUGUAGCCUUGUCUGGCCUGGGACUUACUCUGUAGACAAGGCUUGUCUCAGACUUACAGAGAUGCUACGUAUCUCUGUCUCCCAAUUGCUGGAAUUAAAAGUAUGCAUCACUAGACCCAGAGGCCAGCUAAAGUUUUGAGUAGAAUAUAGAAUAUUCUGGGUAGUGUGUUAAAUUAUAUCCUAGUUGAAUACUAAAUUCCUAUGAUAGUUCAUUUUAACAAAUUCUUUCUGAUACAAAAGUCCCCCAAAACCUAGUGCCAGCCUUCCCCCUUAACUGAUCUCAUGUUGAGCCACCAAAUAGUAGAUGAUACAAUAAACACACAUCAUUUAGAAACUGUCUCCCAGGCAUAUAUAGCACUGCAGAGAAAAGUAUUAUCAAAAAAAAUCUCAUUCUGUCACAAAAUGAAGUAUUGAGAAUAUUUUAUUCCAUUUUAUUUCUGAUAUUAUAACUGAAAUUCCAGAAGGCAUGCCAAUUUCAAGUAGUUUCUGUUCUUUUUUUAAACAUGUUAGUAUAAUGGACUAUUAAGUUAAAUGAGACCAUCAGUUUCAAAUAAUGGAGUCAAAUUAAAUUUAAUAGACAUCACUAUUUGUGUCUGUGCUCAUGACAGAACACACUAUAACUUCCUUUGACAUGUACCAGCCUACCCUCAGGUCCCCUUCCUCAAUUCCUUAAGUCACCUCAAGUGACACAUCAAUGCCAAUGCUCAUUUCAGGAUUUCUCCCUAAUUUUGUCUCUGGUGUUCUAUUUAUCUGACAAUUAUUUCAUUGUUCACACUCAUUUUGUAUCUUUGCUCUUACAAAACUAUCAAAUUGCCCUCCUCACACUAGGUUGACAUCAUACUCAUCCUCUGAGCCAUUACCAGAAUUACCUUCCUCAAACAAAACAAAUGUGAUCAGGUCAGCCCUUCCAGUGACUUUCAAAGUCUUCCUCAUGUCCCUAAGGACCAAUUACACCAAACCCGACCCAAAUUAACACUGUAACCUCCAUGGCACCGUCCUCUCCACAACUUCUCACUUUCCCUUCUGUGUUUUCAACAAAUUGAUACUGCUUUCCAAUACCCACUUCCUCCUUCCUGCCUUCAGGUGAGCUUACCUCACUCCAGGUGCAGCACGAACAUUGCCUCAUUGCUGAAGAAUUCCACACUUCUUUCUGACAAGGUGUCAUUAACAAGAAGACAGUGUGUGGAAAUAUUAGGCAGACUGGCUUCUGUUUCAAAAGUCACCAUGAGACAGUGAAGGUACUAAAUUAAUUGAGUCAGAAGACAAUGGUUAAAAAUGUCUGGAGGGAGCUGUUCCGUGCUUACAGGCACUGCUUCCUCACCUGGAUGCCGCACUUCCUCCCUCUCUGACAGGAUUAACAUGAACGCUGCCCAGCGGUCUAUGAAGGCUGCUUCACCUUCCAGUUCAACAAUGCUUCCAUUUAAGAAGCAUCAGAACACAGAAAUCACCACAGGAGACCUGACUCAACUUGUUCCUCCAUUGGAGAGAAAGAUUAAAGUGUUUUUUUCACCUACUUCCCCCUCUUCACCCCCAUCACCUCUUAAUCCUCUAUCCGGCUGAUUCACAGCAGCUGUUAAAUAACUAGACAUUUAGGUAAAGGCAGACUGAACCUAUAAAUCAGCGUGUGUGAUAUAAUAACCAGCCUGCUCAUGCUGUCUUGGUUUGCUAUUUUUAUGCUGACUUCAGCUGCAGCAUCUAUAUGAAGGGGUUUAGAGCAAUUGUAAAUACUAAUCUCUGGGAUGCCAAUGUCAACAUGGAAAUAUAUACAAGUCAGUGAAACCCCCAUUACAUUCAUAGAGAUGAGUAUAGGACUGUCUGCGAACAUACUGAAUAGUAAAAAAAGAGAAAUAGAAAGUGAAGAAUUGUUAGAGAAUGAGGAGGGGAGUAGUAACUGAGAAGGUGGACUCUCGAAUUUGAGAUCAAAUUCCCUUGGAAGGGAAUGCACUCAUUUAUGCCACUACAGUGUUUGGCAACAGAUGAAGAAAAAAACAAACAAACAAACAAACAAACAAAAACCUGCUCCUAGGUAUGGUAGGGAAAGGGUUUAUUGUAGAUAUGAGAGAGAGCAUAGCCAGAGGCAAGAACAUCAGGGAGAGUCCAGAGCGAACAUGACCCCGAGCUGCUUCAUGAGAGAGGAGUAAGGGGGAGGGUACCCAAAAUGGCUGGAUUAUAUAGGGAAGGACAUCUCCGGGAAGGGAAGCCCAACCUCGUGGUGGAGAAGUUUAGGGUGAUAUGUUAAAUAAGCUCCUCAGUUAGCCAUUUGUCCCAGGUUUGAGAUCUAACACAUAUGUAUCCUCCAAACCUGUUAAAAAUCUCCCUAGUACCUGGGUGAAUAUUUGUUAGGACUGUCUAGCUGUGAAUGACAAAAACCAACAUCAGCUGGUUUCAAAUUCGGAAGAUACAAGAUUUCACAGGGAAGCCCAUUUGCAGACAUGUUGUACAUCCGAAGGAGCUGGCCGCAGAGCCAAGAAAUUUCUGAGCCAUCUAAAAUCUCUGCAUUUCAUCUCUCCCAACCCACCCAACCAUUUGUUUUUCUCGCUUUCGAUUAAUUUGUUCCCUUUGUGUAGCAGAUAUUUCUGGUUUAGCAAAUCCAUUGUCCUUUUCAUCUAAGUACAUAUCGGAAUCACAUGUUCUAGUAAUGUGAGCAUGUAGCUCCAUUCUGGCUUCUACUUCAAGGGCUGGUUCAUAAGCACCAGCUCCUCACCUCCUCUGCUCCACACACUUCUACCUACGCUUUCCAUCUGCUACCAGGAUGAUGAAGACUGAGACCGUGGACGUUGUCUGGGAACCAAAAGCUUAAAGAAUCUUGUUCUCUCCACAGUGCAACCUCUACCAAGAAGCUCCGCCCACUUCAGCAUCUACCAGGAAGCUCCUCCUACUUCAGCAUCCACCAGGAUGAUGCUCCUGCUUCAGCUUGCACUUGACGUGAAUGAGAAGUCAAAUGCUAUCCUAAUUCCUAUCCCCUUAAGCCAUUAAAAAUUAAGAUUUCUCAGCUGGGCAGUGGUGGCACAUGCCUUAAAUCCCAGCAAUUGGGAUGCAGAGGCAGGUGGCUCUCUGUGAGUGCGAGGCCAGCCUAGUCUACAGAGAGUUUUCCAGGACAGGCUCCAAAGUCACACAGAGGAACCCUGUCUCAAAAACAAAAAUAAGAUUUCUCUUUAAAGUGAGUAGUUAUCACUCUGAAGUGCCUUUCUUUUAUGUCAAUGAUCUCUUUUUCCUAAUUUGUGAAACCAGACUGAUUCCUGACCCAACAGGUCAGUCCUAUCCUUGAAAGGAGCAAUUUUGAUGAGGAAGGUGGGUUGUGAUACUAAAAAACACUAGUACAGGGUUUACCAUGUGAACAUGCAGUUGUUAGAACACAGUAAGUACGAGGCUUGUUUCAACUCUACUACUAACUCAGUGAGCUGACUUCACCCACAUAUGGUCUCCUUGAGCACCAGCCCCCUCCUCUUGGAGCCAGAGCUUUAGGUGAGAUUAAUUACCUCCAAAGUCUUUUGCAACUAUAGUAUGUUCUCCUUAAUGCUUCAUGCUAUACCUACAAAGCAACUCUUACACAGUGAAAGAGAAUUUCCCUGAAUGAUUUUUGCAAUUGAAUAACCUAAUGCCAAAAAUGUCAGUGACAAUUCUGAGAUACCCUGCUUAGUACCCUGACAUCAUGGGAACACAC